This 500-nucleotide ribosomal RNA is filed under the name uncultured bacterium. RNAcentral describes it as "partial 16S ribosomal RNA". It matches the Rfam family "Bacterial small subunit ribosomal RNA", at positions 28 to 507 of the family's 1533-position model. The record is from RNAcentral.
GACGAACGCUGGCGGCGUGCCUAAUACAUGCAAGUCGAGCGGACCGGAUUGGGGCUUGCCUUGAUUCGGUCAGCGGCGGACGGGUGAGUAACACGUGGGCAACCUGCCCGCAAGACCGGGAUAACUCCGGGAAACCGGAGCUAAUACCGGAUAACACCGAAGACCGCAUGGUCUUCGGUUGAAAGGCGGCCUUUGGGCUGUCACUUGCGGAUGGGCCCGCGGCGCAUUAGCUAGUUGGUGAGGUAACGGCUCACCAAGGCGACGAUGCGUAGCCGGCCUGAGAGGGUGAUCGGCCACACUGGAACUGAGACACGGUCCAGACUCCUACGGGAGGCAGCAGUAGGGAAUCUUCCGCAAUGGGCGAAAGCCUGACGGAGCAACGCCGCGUGAGUGAUGAAGGUCUUCGGAUCGUAAAACUCUGUUAUUAGGGAAGAACAUAUGUGUAAGUAACUGUGCACAUCUUGACGGUACCUAAUCAGAAAGCCACGGCUAACUACGUG